RNAcentral lists this ribosomal RNA (301 nucleotides) under uncultured bacterium. RNAcentral describes it as "partial 16S ribosomal RNA". It matches the Rfam family "Bacterial small subunit ribosomal RNA", at positions 509 to 808 of the family's 1533-position model. The record is from RNAcentral.
CAGUAGCCGCGGUAAUACGGAGGGGGCUAGCGUUGUUCGGAAUUACUGGGCGUAAAGCGCACGUAGGCGGCUUGGUAAGUUAGAGGUGAAAGCCUGGAGCUCAACUCCAGAAUUGCCUUUAAGACUGCCGAGCUAGCAGGUGAGAGAGGUAAGUGGAAUUCCGAGUGUAGAGGUGAAAUUCGUAGAUAUUCGGAAGAACACCAGUGGCGAAGGCGGCUUACUGGCUCAUACUGGACGCUGAGGUGCGAAAGCGUGGGGAGCAAACAGGAUUAGAUACCCCCGUAGUCCCUGUCUCUAUACA